UACGUAGGGUGCGAGCGUUUGUCCGGAAUUAUUGGGCGUAAAGAGCUUGUAGGUGGCUCGUUGCGUCGGGAGUGAAAACCUGCGGCUUAACCGCAGGCCUGCUUCCGAUACGGGCGAGCUAGAGUUCGGCAGGGGAGACUGGAAUUCCUGGUGUAGCGGUGGAAUGCGCAGAGUAUCAGGAGGAACACCGGUGGCGAAGGCGGGUCUCGUGGGCCGAUACUGACACUGAGAAGCGAAAGCGUGGGGAGCGAACAGG
This 256-nucleotide ribosomal RNA is filed under the name uncultured bacterium. RNAcentral's name for it is "partial 16S ribosomal RNA". It matches the Rfam family "Bacterial small subunit ribosomal RNA", at positions 524 to 776 of the family's 1533-position model. The record is from RNAcentral.